RNA transcript from Folsomia candida, 1163 nucleotides. RefSeq lists it as uncharacterized. The transcript has 6 exons. Lineage: Eukaryota; Metazoa; Arthropoda; Collembola; Entomobryomorpha; Isotomidae. The record is from RefSeq and is a predicted model, not a curated record.
GGUUCGGAUACAGAGAGACGUCAUCGUAGAGAAAGUGUUCUAAAAAUAACAAGUGCAAUGUUUUGGCGAUGAGAAAUACAAACAUACAGCUCAGUGAACCCCAAAUAAUUUACGUGUAUGUACACAUGUACCCUAAUCGAUGAAUCACUGGUAUAUCUUAACCAACGAAGUGUAGUAAUAAUUCGGCCCUUACAUAGUUUAAUAAAACUAUGCAUGAAUUUGUAAACAAAUUUCAAAGUGAACGAAGAUAUCGACUAAUGUAUUAACUAGACUUGUACAUGCACAGUGCAGUACAAAAUACUCUUAAGGAAUACAGCGACAUAUGACGACAACGACGUCAUCGUGACAAGUCUAGUCAACCAAAUAUCAUUUAUGGUCGCUGAAAUCUGUAUUCUGACGAGUAUGAUGAUGGAUUGAACACCACCAAGUACCAACAACCUGCCCAUGCAGAUCAUGUUCUCAAGAGCUGGGUCUUUCCCCUCUGGCUCCGGAAGAAUUUCAGCAUCCCAAAUGCAAGCAGCAUACACUCAUGGAACGAAUAUUUCGACACUGCGAUGUAGUCCCUGAAGGCAUCCGGUAUAGCAAAAAGCAGAUAUCCAGCUUGUUGCAAAACAUUAUGCAUCCUAAGUUGCCCAUAGAUAACGAAGAACUGGAAAAGCUCAUAGCAGAACACGACAGAAAUGGGUCUGGACAAUUGGAUUUUGACUCUGUAACGAAAAUUAUUUUUAGUUUUCUAAUGAAACAAUCAAUAGACUCUACUGUCGACUUGGAGUGUUACAUGGAAAAUGACUUGAAGGGGGAAGACAACAGAAAUGAUGUUAAUUAUCGGUUAUCAGUUGACGAUUUUAUCAUUUUUGGAAAUUUAUAACCAGUUUUUAUUAAUCUGGUCAAUGGUACAAAAGUAUUAUCGGUGGGCCCUUGUUGUAACAACGUUCAAUAUACUUAUAGUAUAUAAUAUAAAUAUUUAUAGUUUAUAUAAAUUUGUUGCUACUUUUGUAAUCGUCUUUGUUUUUAAUGACAAAUAGUAUUCCAAUUUUAAUUUACUCCAUUUAGUCAUCUCAGGUAGACAUUUCAACUUAUAAAUAUUUGGCGUAUUGACCUCUAUUUACAGAUCUGCAUAGAUAAAAGUAUUUUGUUUUUAAUUGCAUAAUACAAUACUUUGU